UUCCUGCGGUCACACAGCCACUUGAGUAUGGAACAAACGCGGGCCGUCUGGUUUGCAGCUUACCCUGCUUGUUUCCAAGCGGGGUGAUGCAAUUUCACAAAGCCUUCUGUUUCCCCUCCCUUCCUGGGUGCCCAUCCCAUCUCCUGUCUCCCCAGCCAGUAUGUUAUUUAGCUCAAAAUAAUCUUGUGGUCAGUAGCUUGAGCUUGGAGGUCAGAGCAUCUCCCUCAAAGGACCAGCUUUUCUCAGGCCUCCACAUCCCCUCCUGUAUGUGGAUUGUCAGAGUGAGGAAGAUCACCAGAGGAAACAUGGCUAGCACUCGGAGGGGGUUGGGGGAAGUGGAGGGGAGUGGGGGGGGGGACAGGACCAGGGCCUUACUGGUAAAUGGUGUGACCCAUUACCAGGAGGUGGCCUCCCUGCCCCUUCCCUCAAGAAUAAAAACCCAAGCUGUAGCUUCUGUUCAUCAAAA
RNAcentral lists this long non-coding RNA (466 nucleotides) under Rattus norvegicus (Norway rat). RNAcentral's name for it is "long non-coding RNA NONRATT024674". The record is from RNAcentral. Lineage: Eukaryota; Metazoa; Chordata; Mammalia; Rodentia; Muridae.